GCACUCGUAGCUCAGCUGGAUAGAGCGCUGCCCUCCGAAGGCAGAGGUCGUGAGUUCGAAUCUCGCCGGGUGCGCCA
RNAcentral lists this transfer RNA (77 nucleotides) under compost metagenome. RNAcentral's name for it is "tRNA-Arg". It matches the Rfam family "tRNA". From Rfam's summary of the family: Transfer RNA (tRNA) molecules are approximately 80 nucleotides in length. Their secondary structure includes four short double-helical elements and three loops (D, anti-codon, and T loops). The record is from RNAcentral.